This 46-nucleotide non-coding RNA is filed under the name Mytilus galloprovincialis (Mediterranean mussel). It matches the Rfam family "Histone 3' UTR stem-loop". From Rfam's summary of the family: The mRNAs of metazoan histone genes lack a poly-A tail. 3' end processing occurs at a site between a highly conserved stem-loop (modelled by this family) and a purine rich region around 20 nts downstream (the histone downstream element, or HDE). Lineage: Eukaryota; Metazoa; Mollusca; Bivalvia; Mytilida; Mytilidae. The record is from RNAcentral.
CCAAAAGCCCUUUUAAGGGCUACCCAAUUUAUUCAAAAAGAAUCUA